CCUACGGUGGCUGCAGUGGGGAAUAUUGGACAAUGGGCGAAAGCCUGAUCCAGCCAUGCCGCGUGUGUGAAGAAGGCCUUCGGGUUGUAAAGCACUUUCAGUGGGGAAGAAAGCCUUGGGGCUAAUACCCUCGAGGAAGGACAUCACCCACAGAAGAAGCACCGGCUAACUCCGUGCCAGCAGCCGCGGUAAUACGGAGGGUGCGAGCGUUAAUCGGAAUUACUGGGCGUAAAGCGCGCGUAGGCGGUCUGAUAAGCCGGUUGUGAAAGCCCCGGGCUCAACCUGGGAACGGCAUCCGGAACUGUCAGGCUAGAGUGCAGGAGAGGAAGGUAGAAUUCCCGGUGUAGCAGUGAAAUGCGUAGAGAUCGGGAGGAAUACCAGUGGCGAAGGCGGCCUUCUGGACUGACACUGACGCUGAGGUGCGAAAGCGUGGGUAGCAAACAGGAUUAGAUACCCUGGUAGUC
This 464-nucleotide ribosomal RNA is filed under the name Vreelandella stevensii. Its description in RNAcentral is "partial 16S ribosomal RNA". It matches the Rfam family "Bacterial small subunit ribosomal RNA", at positions 338 to 795 of the family's 1533-position model. The record is from RNAcentral. Lineage: Bacteria; Pseudomonadati; Pseudomonadota; Gammaproteobacteria; Oceanospirillales; Halomonadaceae.